GCUCAGUAACACGUGGACAACCUGCCCUUAGGACGGGGAUAAACCCGGGAAACUGGGUAUAAUACCCGAUAGGUCUCGAUUGCUGGAAUGCAUCGAGAUUUAAAGCUCCGGCGCCUAAGGAUGGGUCUGCGGCCUAUCAGGUAGUAGUGGGUGUAGCGUACCUACUAGCCUACGACGGGUACGGGUUGUGAGAGCAAGAGCCCGGAGAUGGAUUCUGAGACACGAAUCCAGGCCCUACGGGGUGCAGCAGGCGCGAAAACUUUACAAUGCUGGCAACAGCGAUAAGGGAACCUCGAGUGCCAGGUUACAAAUCUGGCUGUCGAGAUGCCUAAAAAGCAUUUCAUAGCAAGGGC
Molecule: ribosomal RNA, 353 nt
Filed under: uncultured Methanosaeta sp.
Lineage: Archaea; Methanobacteriati; Methanobacteriota; Methanomicrobia; Methanotrichales; Methanotrichaceae
Description: bacterial SSU rRNA
Rfam family: Archaeal small subunit ribosomal RNA
Source: RNAcentral